Molecule: long non-coding RNA, 275 nt
Filed under: Lotus japonicus
Lineage: Eukaryota; Viridiplantae; Streptophyta; Magnoliopsida; Fabales; Fabaceae
Description: long non-coding RNA (LJAP_LNC001915)
Source: RNAcentral
CGGCAUGUCCCUCCCUCGCCGCCACUCACCCGUUCUGAAAUCGUAGACGAACACCGCCGUGAGAGGCUCGUAGCUCGCCGGGUCCCACCCACCCAUCAGCACAAGCUUCCCCUCGCAGCUCGCAAGUUGACAGAACAAAGGCAGCCCGGAAGAGUAUUCCGGAACCGGGUCGACCCGGUCCCAGACAAAACUCUCCGGGUCGAACACGGUUAUCCCGUAGCUCGGUGGCGAUGACCCGUUUGCCUGUUUCUCUUCAUUGUGCGGUGGCGGUUCUU